RNAcentral lists this unclassified non-coding RNA (385 nucleotides) under soil metagenome. RNAcentral's name for it is "partial contains 5.8S ribosomal RNA, internal transcribed spacer 2, and large subunit ribosomal RNA". The stretch from base 1 to 120 matches the Rfam family "5.8S ribosomal RNA", at positions 35 to 154 of the family's 154-position model. The record is from RNAcentral.
GAUGAAGAACGCAGCGAAAUGCGAUAAGUAAUGUGAAUUGCAGAAUUCAGUGAAUCAUCGAAUCUUUGAACGCACCUUGCGCUCGUUGGUAUUCCGACGAGCAUGCCUGUUUGAGUGUCAUUAAAUUCUCAACUCUCCUAUACUUUGUUGUAAAGGAGGGCUUGGAUUGUGGAGGCUUGCUGGCCGCUUGAUGUGGUCAGCUCCUCUGAAAUGCAUUAGCAGAACUGUUUGCGAUCUGCCACAAGUGUGAUAAAUUAUCUACACUGGCGAGGGGAUUGCUCUCUGUGUUCAGCUUCUAAUCGUCUUCAGUGACAAUUUCUUGAAUGCUUGACCUCAAAUCAGGUAGGACUACCCGCUGAACUUAAGCAUAUCAAUAAGCGGAGGA